This 520-nucleotide ribosomal RNA is filed under the name uncultured Entrophospora. Its description in RNAcentral is "SSU rRNA". It matches the Rfam family "Eukaryotic small subunit ribosomal RNA", at positions 569 to 1081 of the family's 1831-position model. The record is from RNAcentral. Lineage: Eukaryota; Fungi; Glomeromycota; Glomeromycetes; Entrophosporales; Entrophosporaceae.
AGCAGCCGCGGUAAUUCCAGCUCCAAUAGCGUAUAUUAAAGUUGUUGCAGUUAAAAAGCUCGUAGUUGAAUUUCGGGAUUGACGUGACGGUCGUGCCUUACGGGGUAUGAACUGUCGCCGUUGAUUUCUCACCUUCUGGAGAAGCUCGAUGUCCUUAGUUGGGUGUCUUGCGGAACCAGGACCUUUACCUUGAAAAAAUUAGAGUGUUUAAAGCAGGCAUUUUGCUCGAAUACAUUAGCAUGGAAUAAUAGAAUAGGACGGCAUGGUUCUAUUUUGUUGGUUUCUAGGAUCACCGUAAUGAUUAAUAGGGAUAGUUGGGGGCAUUAGUAUUCAAUUGUCAGAGGUGAAAUUCUUGGAUUUAUUGAAGACUAACUACUGCGAAAGCAUUUGCCAAGGAUGUUUUCAUUAAUCAAGAACGAAAGUUAGGGGAUCGAAGACGAUCAGAUACCGUCGUAGUCUUAACCAUAAACUAUGCCGACUAGGAAUCAGACGAUGUUAAUUUUUUUAAUUGUACUCAUUC